GUGACAGCAGCCGCGGUAAUACGUAGGGUGCAAGCGUUAAUCGGAAUUACUGGGCGUAAAGCGUGCGCAGGCGGUUAUAUAAGACAGAUGUGAAAUCCCCGGGCUCAACCUGGGAACUGCAUUUGUGACUGUAUAGCUAGAGUACGGCAGAGGGGGAUGGAAUUCCGCGUGUAGCAGUGAAAUGCGUAGAUAUGCGGAGGAACACCGAUGGCGAAGGCAAUCCCCUGGGCCUGUACUGACGCUCAUGCACGGAAGCGUGGGGAGCAAACAGGAUUAGAAACCCCUGUAGUCC
This 292-nucleotide ribosomal RNA is filed under the name uncultured bacterium. Its description in RNAcentral is "partial 16S ribosomal RNA". It matches the Rfam family "Bacterial small subunit ribosomal RNA", at positions 505 to 796 of the family's 1533-position model. The record is from RNAcentral.